RNAcentral lists this long non-coding RNA (260 nucleotides) under Phoenix dactylifera (date palm). RNAcentral's name for it is "long non-coding RNA (PDAC_LNC019398)". The record is from RNAcentral. Lineage: Eukaryota; Viridiplantae; Streptophyta; Magnoliopsida; Arecales; Arecaceae.
AUAGCAGAUAUUGUUGAUCGUGUGUGUAGUUGCUAACCGAUAUUAGUUACCAAAACCGCCAAAGGUGGUGACUAGAUGUGAACUAUACAUUCCCUUUGCAACAGGAAAUUGGAAGUGAACUCACCUGACAGUCCACUGCAGAUUUAAGGGGGACGCUGUGUAUCAUGUCACCCCUUCUCCUAGAUGGUUUCAAUGGCAUGAUAUGAGACUUUGCUAUGAUCUAAGCAUCAAAACCAUCAUUAAACUCUGGUCUACGCAUU